Molecule: non-coding RNA, 114 nt
Filed under: unclassified sequences
Description: Actinomyces-1 RNA
Rfam family: Actinomyces-1 RNA
Source: Rfam by way of RNAcentral
ACUGCCGCCGGACGGUGCGGGUCGUGAGGAGGAACAGGAUUCCCCACAGACGGGCCCGACCGAGAAUCGCCAGGGUUUACAGGGAGCCCUGACGGAUUCGCUCCGGCGAAGGAG